Molecule: ribosomal RNA, 434 nt
Filed under: uncultured bacterium
Lineage: Bacteria
Description: partial 16S ribosomal RNA
Rfam family: Bacterial small subunit ribosomal RNA
Source: RNAcentral
CCUACGCGAGGCUGCAGUGGGGGAUAUUGCACAAUGGGGGAAACCCUGAUGCAGCGACGCCGCGUGUGGGAAGACGGUCCUCUGGAUUGUAAACCACUGUCCCCAGGGACGAAGAUGACGGUACCUGGGGAGGAAGCUCCGGCUAACUACGUGCCAGCAGCCGCGGUAAUACGUAGGGAGCUCGCGUUGUCCGGAAUUACUGGGUGUAAAGGGAGCGUAGGCGGGGAUGCAAGUUGGGUGUCAAAACUACCGGCUCAACUGGUAGUCGCACUCAAAACUGCAGCGCUUGAGUGAAGUAGAGGCAGGCGGAAUGCCUAGUGUAGCGGUGAAAUGCGUAGAUAUUAGGAGGAACACCAGUGGCGAAGGCGGCCUGCUGGGCUUUUACUGACGCUGAGGCUCGAAAGUGUGGGGAGCAAACAGGAUUAGAUACCCGU